RNAcentral lists this ribosomal RNA (467 nucleotides) under uncultured bacterium. RNAcentral describes it as "partial 16S ribosomal RNA". It matches the Rfam family "Bacterial small subunit ribosomal RNA", at positions 27 to 507 of the family's 1533-position model. The record is from RNAcentral.
GGACGAACGCUGGCGGCGUGCUUAACCCAUGCAAGUCGAACGGUAAGGCUCCAGCUUGCUGGGGUACACGAGUGGCGAACGGGUGAGUAACACGUGGGUGACCUGCCCUGCACUUCGGGAUAAGCCUGGGAAACUGGGUCUAAUACCGGAUAGGACCAUGGUGUGGAUACUGUGGUGGAAAGUUUUUUCGGUGUGGGAUGGGCCCGCGGCCUAUCAGCUUGUUGGUGGGGUAAUGGCCUACCAAGGCGGCGACGGGUAGCCGGCCUGAGAGGGUGGACGGCCACAUUGGGACUGAGACACGGCCCAGACUCCUACGGGAGGCAGCAGUGGGGAAUAUUGCACAAUGGGCGGAAGCCUGAUGCAGCGACGCCGCGUGGGGGAUGACGGCCUUCGGGUUGUAAACUCCUUUCACCAUCGACGAAGGGUUUCUGACGGUAGAUGGAGAAGAAGCACCGGCUAACUACGUG